RNAcentral lists this ribosomal RNA (253 nucleotides) under uncultured bacterium. RNAcentral's name for it is "partial 16S ribosomal RNA". It matches the Rfam family "Bacterial small subunit ribosomal RNA", at positions 524 to 776 of the family's 1533-position model. The record is from RNAcentral.
UACGGGGGGGGCAAGCGUUGUUCGGAAUUACUGGGCGUAAAGGGUUCGUAGGUGGCCAACUAAGUCAGACGUGAAAUCCCUCGGCUCAACCGGGGAACUGCGUCUGAUACUGGUUGGCUUGAGUGCAGGAGAGGAACGCGGAAUUCCAGGUGUAGCGGUGAAAUGCGUAGAUAUCUGGAGGAACACCGGUGGCGAAGGCGGCAUCCUGGACCGGUAUUGACGCUGAGGCGCGAAAGCUAGGGGAGCAAACGGG